CCUACGGGCGGCAGCAGUGGGGGAUAUUGCACAAUGGGGGGAACCCUGAUGCGGCGACGCCGCGUGGGUGAAGGAGUAUUUCGGUAUGUAAAGCCCUAUCGGCAGGGAAGAAAUUGGACGGUACCUGACUAAGAAGCCCCGGCUAACUACGUGCCAGCAGCCGCGGUAAUACGUAGGGGGCAAGCGUUAUCCGGAUUCACUGGGUGUAAAGGGAGCGUAGACGGCCAUGCAAGCCAGGGGGGAAAGCCCGGGGCCCAACCCCGGGACUGCCCUUGGAACUGCAUGGCUGGAGUGCGGGAGGGGCAGGCGGAAUUCCUGGUGUAGCGGUGAAAUGCGUAGAUAUCAGGAGGAACACCGGCGGCGAAGGCGGCCUGCUGGACCGCGACUGACGUUGAGGCUCGAAAGCGUGGGGAGCGAACAGGAUUAGAUACCCCGGUAGUC
RNAcentral lists this ribosomal RNA (441 nucleotides) under uncultured bacterium. Its description in RNAcentral is "partial 16S ribosomal RNA". It matches the Rfam family "Bacterial small subunit ribosomal RNA", at positions 338 to 795 of the family's 1533-position model. The record is from RNAcentral.